GAUGAACGCUGGCGGCGUGCUUAACACAUGCAAGUCGAACGAUGAGGCCCAGCUUUCUGUGUUGAGUAGUUGCGAACGGGUGAGUAACACGUGAGUAACCUGCCCUUAACUCUGGGAUAAGCCUGUUAAACUAGGUCUAAUACCUGAUAGGAGCUUCCACCACAUGGUUGGUGUUGUAAAGAUUUAGCGGUUUUGGGUCGACUCUCGGUCUAUCAGCUUGUUAGUGAGGUAUUGGCUCACCAAGGCCACGACGGGUAGCCGGCCUGGGAGCGUGACCGGCCACAAUGGGACUGAGAGACGGAGCAGACUCGUACGGGAGGCAGCAGUGGGGAAUAUUGCACAAUGGGCGCAAGCCUGAUGCAGAGACGCCGCGUGAGGGAUGACGGCCUUCGGGUUGUAAACAUCUUUCAGUAGGGAAGAAGAGAAAGUGACGGUACCUGAAGAAGAAGCAACGGCUAACUACGUG
RNAcentral lists this ribosomal RNA (466 nucleotides) under uncultured bacterium. RNAcentral's name for it is "partial 16S ribosomal RNA". It matches the Rfam family "Bacterial small subunit ribosomal RNA", at positions 28 to 507 of the family's 1533-position model. The record is from RNAcentral.